CUGAAACUUCGAAUAGAACGUUGAGGAAACAUGUUGUAAAUUGUUAGGGGGUUGGAUCAGAACAAAAGUUCAGCAGGAAAACUAAAAAGUGCAGUGACAAGUGAGGACAAAUGUAACAGUCAGACGCUGCUGUGAGAGCCGGGCCUGGAGCUGCUGGAGAGGCUGGAGAGGCUGCUGUCUCUCCCCAUGUGCAGGAGGCCCAGACGGGCCCAGGUGUGCUUCCUUCACUGCACAGCCGCCCCAUAGGAACAUGAAACAAUCUACGAAGUCCUUCACUGUACUAACACAGCUCACCUUCAGGCACAAAACAGGCAAGGCAUCCUACACAACGUAUGAAAGAAAACAAAAUGUUUAUGAGAUCAUCAUCUAGAAAAAAUAUUAUGUUAAUCUUAAUAUGUGACUGGAAAGAUCAGGGGUGGGUUACUGAGCCAUCCUACCUGGUUUGCGACAGGAAAACUAUGUAAAAAAAUUCAGAGAUCUGUUAUGAUCCCAUCUAGAUUUACCAAGGCUUAUUUCCG
This 518-nucleotide long non-coding RNA is filed under the name Lepisosteus oculatus (spotted gar). RNAcentral describes it as "lncRNA (ENSLOCG00000021841.1)". Lineage: Eukaryota; Metazoa; Chordata; Actinopteri; Semionotiformes; Lepisosteidae. The record is from RNAcentral.